UGCUCCGCCAGUUUCUCUCUGAGAGUUGUCUUGGUGACUGUGUUCUCCAGUUUAAACCUAAACACAAAAGUUUUGAAAGAACUGCUUGUCCACUGGUACUUGGACGAGGAAGGAAGUAGUCUUCGGUGACUUCUGGACUCGACUCUGGUGGCAUGUUGUCCGUUUCACGAUCACACUGCAAAUAAGUGAAAAUAAUACAUGUAGAUGCAAGAGCAUUUCAAGCAGUAACAGAUCUUUAGAUGCUGUAUGUCCUCACAAAAGGCAAAACUGUCAAACGAAAUGAAGACUGGUAUCCAUGAAGCCGCAAUGGACCCAGCAGACACAAGUGAAUCUCAUUCAUAAUAAUUCCUUCCAUGAUAAAUUACCUCACCCUGACUACCGUCGCCCAGCAGGUCCAUUUUUAAGACACGAUGAUAAGUCAAGUUGUGGGUAUUUUUCACAUUGAUGAUGCAAAGUUUUCUUAAUACUGUCACUCAAAUAUUGAAGAUACCAUUGAAGCCAGUGAAAGUUCUACUACAGCGUAUGAAAAACUGUUGAGAUCAUGACGAAACGUUUGAGAAUACCGUAGUUAGUUUAACCAAAAUUUCACCUCAAAAUGAUUUUCCUCCUCUCCCACCAUACUGAUUCCCUCAACCACAUCUAGCUUUGUAAUAAACUUAACCUAUUUUGCCAUGAGAGGAAAACACAUUUGAGUAAAUAAUGUCAGCAGAUUGUUUGAUAUAGAAAAUAGUAGCUUCAGUUUUUCUUUUGAAAAAAUAAAAAAUAAAAGUAAAUAAAUAAAUAAAUAAAUAAAAUAAAUAAAUAAAUAAAUAAAUAAAAAAAUAAAUAAAUAAGUGCUUGUAAGCCUUUGUAUUUUGAAACGCCUCCUUGUUCUCCCUUGUAAGACUUUUUUCAUUCAGACCACAGAUAUGAUUACUCAAGAUUCUCAUGGGUGUUUUACUCAUUAAUGGGAGAGAAUCCCUGAAUCAUAAAACACUUCAAAGUCAACCCCAAUAACUUCCACUGCAGUAGUCGAGACAAGAUGGCAAAGUGUUUGAAAACACAGUUGCUGAAUCAGUCAUGAAACUGAGAAUAUCAUGGUGAUCCAGAUUUAUUUAUUUAUUUUUUACACAAAGGAUAUUGUAAGAAAGACUGAUGAACGUGUUUAAGUGUGUUUAGUGUUCUAUGUCAUGCCUUUGGAGCAUCAUGGAAACACUGAAAAUCUGAAUUGAAAGCAAGAUACAUCAUGAGAGAUACAUCACUGCUGGCCAGUAAGCCCUGUGUAAGACACUUUAGACACAAGUCUCACAUUACAGUUACUCAUAUCUUAAAUUGCUAAACUGAGCACCACCAAUCACACAAUCCCAGUCACACUGCCAGCUAGCUGUGGCUCAAUACAGGUGAAGAAUAUUAUCUACAAUAUGCACAAUACUGCUGUCAAAUUCAUUAUGGCAUUUUAUUGUACUAGCAUGUAAAAAAGUUCUUUGGUAUAUUAUAAUAUGUAUCUGAGGAAUUUACGAUGAAGAUGAACAGUGAUGACAAGCUGGUCAUAAUGCUAGGCAAACUUAUAUACAGUACUAUGUAUGUAUAACAGAAGCAAAUUAAUAAAAGUUGACAUACUUAGACACUUGAUCAGAAACUUAACAGUAAGACUGUUCUGUAACUGAAUAGUAGCAAUACACAUGAAACAAGGAACAGAACUGCAUUAAUCACAGUAAAAAGACACCUUAACCUCAAGUGAACAAAAUUUUGAUAUAGCACACAAACAAAAUUUCCCUUUAUUGCUUAUUCCAAGGUUAUGCUGAAAAGAUCUAGGAAGCUUAUGUUCAGUUUUAAUGAACUACCUGAGUUAAAUCCUAAAUCAAGGGACAACCAAAUGAAUAAACUUAUCUUCAUCUGGUGACUGAUGAACUUUAAAACUAACAGUAUGUAUUACAUACACAAAUAUUUUUUUUUCUUUGGUAUCACCAGCAGCUAACCUCUUCAGGAAGGCUGCCUUGGCUGAUGAUGGCUUGUUUGGCAGGCUGGAAGCACCUGGAUCUCCCCACUCCUAAGUGGAGUCUCCUCAGUGGCACAGAAGGUCACUCCUGACGUGCCAAGACCCAGAUGACGGCCUCGUCUCCUGCACCAAGAUCAGUGUCAAGAAUAAUAAUGUGUUAGAUGCUAAAUUAAACUCUGGAACUUCC
Molecule: long non-coding RNA, 2165 nt
Organism: Scylla paramamosain (green mud crab)
Lineage: Eukaryota; Metazoa; Arthropoda; Malacostraca; Decapoda; Portunidae
Exons: 3
Source: RefSeq, a predicted model, not a curated record